Small nucleolar RNA from Euleptes europaea (tarantolino), 131 nucleotides. RefSeq annotates it as small nucleolar RNA SNORA3/SNORA45 family. The record is from RefSeq and is a predicted model, not a curated record. Lineage: Eukaryota; Metazoa; Chordata; Lepidosauria; Squamata; Sphaerodactylidae. The transcript has a single exon.
AUCGAGGCUAGAGUCACAUCCUGGCAUCUUGAUUGUUUUGAUGUGCUAUAGUUCUCGGAGAAAGACUACUGAUCUUUAUUCACUUCUUGUGGCAUUUCAUGCCACAGUAAGUCACCAGAUCAGUAACAAUU